AUUGAACGCUGGCGGCAGGCCUAACACAUGCAAGUCGAACGGUAACAGGAAGUGCUUGCACUUUGCUGACGAGUGGCGGACGGGUGAGUAAUGCUUGGGAACUUGCCUUUGCGGAGGGGGAUAACAGUUGGAAACGACUGCUAAUACCGCAUAAUGUCUACGGACCAAACGGGGCUUAGGCUUCGGCGCAGAGAGAGGCCCAAGUGAGAUUAGCUAGUUGGUGGGGUAAAGGCUCACCAAGGCGACGAUCUCUAGCUGUUCUGAGAGGAAGAUCAGCCACACUGGGACUGAGACACGGCCCAG
RNAcentral lists this ribosomal RNA (303 nucleotides) under uncultured Alteromonas sp. RNAcentral's name for it is "bacterial SSU rRNA". It matches the Rfam family "Bacterial small subunit ribosomal RNA", at positions 30 to 334 of the family's 1533-position model. The record is from RNAcentral. Lineage: Bacteria; Pseudomonadati; Pseudomonadota; Gammaproteobacteria; Alteromonadales; Alteromonadaceae.